AGCUUUGCGCAGUGGCAGUAUUGUAGCCCAUGAGGUUUAUCCAAGGCGUGAUUAUUACUAAUUGAAAACUUUUCCCAGUACCCCACCAUGACUACUUGCAACAUAGUCAGCACUGGCAAUUUUGACAGUCUCUAUGGAGA
Molecule: small nuclear RNA, 140 nt
Organism: Callithrix jacchus (white-tufted-ear marmoset)
Lineage: Eukaryota; Metazoa; Chordata; Mammalia; Primates; Cebidae
Gene: U4
Rfam family: U4 spliceosomal RNA
About the family: U4 small nuclear RNA (U4 snRNA) is a component of the major U2-dependent spliceosome. The structure of U4 snRNA from yeast and human has been reported.
Source: Ensembl